Molecule: long non-coding RNA, 584 nt
Organism: Phyllostomus hastatus (greater spear-nosed bat)
Lineage: Eukaryota; Metazoa; Chordata; Mammalia; Chiroptera; Phyllostomidae
Exons: 6
Source: RefSeq, a predicted model, not a curated record
GAAAGACGGAAGUCAGAGGCAGUGAGAAGUUCCCGCUUGGUCUUUCUGGUUUGUUCUGCUGCAUCGUCCUUAUCCGAUGUCAUCCAGCCCUGAGAACUCGGGGUUAUUACCGUGUGCGGUUGGCGUGAUCAAAGGGUGCAGAAUGGAUCUUGAAGGAGAGAGUCGAUGCUGGGCAUCCAAGGGAGCCCCGAUGUCGCGUAGACAUCGAGAGCCUUGGGUCUCCUGACCUGGUUUACUGUUGGCAAAAAGCAGACUUGGUAUGGACCAGGAUGAAUCCAGGAGUGGGAAAGGAUUGGAAAGUGAUGUACACAUUUUUCUAAGUGCCCAUGCCCACGUGGCUGAACAGACGUAAAAUCUGGAGAAUGGAGGAGGUCCAGAGCCCAGUGUGUCACUGGGCAGACAGUUGAUUGCAUCCUGAUCUUCCCCUUCGGCUCAGUCUGUGCUGUAACAGGAGUUUCUCACGGGUGGAGUUGGAAUACAAGGCCUCUUGGAAAAGAUCGACCCUGUGUUUUCCUGAGAAAGCAUAAUGGAAUUUUGUAGGCUUCCUAUCUGGAGAAGGAAAAUAAAAAAUUCUUGAAAUCAAA